Molecule: long non-coding RNA, 874 nt
Filed under: Lupinus mutabilis
Lineage: Eukaryota; Viridiplantae; Streptophyta; Magnoliopsida; Fabales; Fabaceae
Description: partial ncRNA
Source: RNAcentral
UGAUGAAUUUGAUCCUCGUGGUCUUGCAUCAGAGGUUUAGGUGGGACUGUGAGGUUGCUACACUAACUGUUGGUUUGAAAGUCGGGAGUAGAUUGUGUGUUUAUAGUUUUCCUUGCACGGCUCUCAUUACAAGUGGAGUUUUCAUUUCAAAACCUGUUUAAGUCCUGAGUCUGUAUAUGUUGCGCUCUUAUAGCUAUUUAUGUGGUCUUAUCGUCUUAUACUCUUCUUAGUUGGCAUAGCAUUUAGAAAAUUGUUGACAGUAUCUGUUAUAAUAUGCUGCAGUAUGAUAAAGUAGUUUAGAAAGAAGUGUCCUGGUUUAUACAGUUAUAACAUUCUAUGUUCAGUUAGUUAGAUGUUCUAGACCAUAUGUAUAAAUACUCAGCAUGGUAGUUAUGAUCGGGCCCAGGUUGACUCUGGCCCAAUAGAACCACUAGCCCAAGAUGCCAUCAAGAUCUAGGAAAUGGAAGGUUUAUGUUAGAAGGAAGAAAAGGGAAUGUUAGAGUAAUGAGCUGGCAGGGGAGACAAAAGAAAGGGAAUUCGUUACAAAUAAAUGUAAUUCAGUUACAUAAGGGUGAAUGGAGAACUUUAGUUCUCUGUAGGAGCAGUGUACUGGGCACUAGGAUCUUAUCCUCUGUAAACAACUCCACUGUAAUAUUUUCUCUCACAAACAUCUUUUCUUUUAUGCUUUACAGCUCCUGGUGGCCAACUGGUACAGCCGCCUUUUUCGUCCCCCAACAGUCAACAUCCACAGCAACCCUUUUCAGCUCAUGGUGGUCAACCUGGACAACAAUCGUUUUCAACUAAUUAUGGUCUACCUGGACUGCAACCCUUCCCAGCUCAUGCCGGUCAACCUGGUCAGCAACCCUUUUCACCU